UUUCCGUAGGUGAACCUGCGGAAGGAUCAUUAUUAUAUAACCGAGAUGCAAUGUCUGUCGCUGACCCGAACGGUCAUGCACGCUAGAGUUCCCUCACACUCAUCCAUCUCACCCCUAUGUGCACUACCGCGUGGAUCCUCCUAUGGCUUUGUCGGAGGGGGUCUUACGUUUUCACACAUUCAUUUAGUGCUCAGCAGAAUUUAUUUUUUUUUUUUUCAAUACCGCAAUCAAAACGACUAUCAACAAGGGAACUCUUAGCGCUCACAUCGAUUAAGAACC
Molecule: unclassified non-coding RNA, 279 nt
Filed under: plant metagenome
Description: partial contains small subunit ribosomal RNA, internal transcribed spacer 1, and 5.8S ribosomal RNA
Source: RNAcentral